Molecule: ribosomal RNA, 869 nt
Filed under: uncultured bacterium
Lineage: Bacteria
Description: bacterial SSU rRNA
Rfam family: Bacterial small subunit ribosomal RNA
Source: RNAcentral
CUAACACAUGCAAGUGGAGCGACGAACCAGGCUUCGGCCUGGGGCAAAGCCGCGAACGGGUGAGUAACACGUGGGUGACCUACCCCGAAGACCGGGAUAACCCGAGGAAACUCGGGCUAAUACCGGAUGUGCUCCGUCUGCUGCGGCAGGCGGUGGAAAGGUAGCUUCGGCUUCCGCUUCGGGAUGGGCCCGCGGCCCAUUAGCUAGUUGGUGAGGUAACGGCUCACCAAGGCGACGAUGGGUAGCUGGUCUGAGAGGAUGGCCAGCCACACUGGGACUGAGACACGGCCCAGACUCCUACGGGAGGCAGCAGUGGGGAAUCUUGGGCAAUGCGCGAAAGCGUGACCCAGCGACGCCGCGUGGGGGAAGAAGGCCUUCGGGUCGUAAACCCCUUUCAGGAGGGACGAAGCCCGGUCCGUGAAUAGCGGUCCCGGGUGACGGUACCUCCAGAAGAAGCCCCGGCUAACUACGUGCCAGCAGCCGCGGUAAUACGUAGGGGGCGAGCGUUGCCCGGAAUCAUUGGGCGUAAAGCGCGCGUAGGCGGCCCGGUAAGUCCGCUGUGAAAGCCCGGGGCUCAACCCCGGGAGGCCGGCGGAUACUGUCGGGCUAGAGUCCGGAAGAGGCGGGUGGAAUUCCCGGUGUAGCGGUGAAAUGCGCAGAUAUCGGGAGGAACACCGAUGGCGAAGGCAGCCCGCUGGGACGGUACUGACGCUGAGGCGCGAAAGCGUGGGGAGCGAACAGGAUUAGAUACCCUGGUAGUCCACGCCGUAAACGAUGGGCACUAGGUGUGGGGGGUAGCCGACUCCCUCCGUGCCGAAGCUAACGCAUUAAGUGCCCCGCCUGGGGAGUACGGCCGCAAGGCUAAAACU